CUGAAUAAUCCAGCAGAGCACAUGGGCUCGUCCCGGUGCCAAAUCUUUCAAGUGUCUGCUCUAUCAACUUUCGAUGGUAGUUUAUGUGACUACCAUGGUUGUGACGGGUAACGGAGGAUUAGGGUCUGACUCCGGAGAGGGAGCCUGAGAAACGGCUACCACUUCUAAGGAAGGCAGCAGGCGCGCAAAUUACCCAUUCUCAGUACGAGGAGGUAGUGACGAAAAAUACCAAGGUGAGGCCCUAUGGGUUUCGCCAUUGGAAUGAGAACAAUAUAAAUCUUUUAACGAGUAACAAGUGGAGGGCAAGUCUGGUGCCAGCAGCCGCGGUAAUUCCAGCUCCACAAGUGUAUUCCUAUAUUGUUGCGGUUAAAAAG
Molecule: ribosomal RNA, 374 nt
Filed under: Nematoda sp.
Lineage: Eukaryota; Metazoa; Nematoda
Description: SSU rRNA
Rfam family: Eukaryotic small subunit ribosomal RNA
Source: RNAcentral